RNAcentral lists this ribosomal RNA (254 nucleotides) under uncultured bacterium. RNAcentral's name for it is "partial 16S ribosomal RNA". It matches the Rfam family "Bacterial small subunit ribosomal RNA", at positions 524 to 776 of the family's 1533-position model. The record is from RNAcentral.
UACGUAGGGUGCGAGCGUUGUCCGGAAUUCUUGGGCGUAAAGAGCUCGUAGGCGGUCUGUCGCGUCGAUCGUGAAAACUUGGGGCUUAACCCUGAGCUUGCGGUCGAUACGGGCAUGACUGGAGUUCGGCAGGGGAGACUGGAAUUCCUGGUGUAGCGGUGAAAUGCGCAGAUAUCAGGAGGAACACCGGUGGCGAAGGCGGGUCUCUGGGCCGAUACUGACGCUGAGGAGCGAAAGCGUGGGGAGCGAACAGG